Long non-coding RNA from Mangifera indica (mango), 933 nucleotides. RefSeq lists it as uncharacterized. Lineage: Eukaryota; Viridiplantae; Streptophyta; Magnoliopsida; Sapindales; Anacardiaceae. The record is from RefSeq and is a predicted model, not a curated record. The transcript has 6 exons.
UGAUGGUUCAAGUAAUUAUAACGUCCUUUGUAAAUGUUAUAUCCGAAUUCAACAAUCGUUGAUUGAUUACUUGUUAACGAGUUUCUGUCGAUAUUAUCACAGUGCCCUGACAUUUCUGAGGCUACACCGGUGGGGGAUCUAGAGAUGACAUCAACUUUAAAAGUAAAUGUACAUAUACCAUUGACUGUACAUCUAUUAAUCUCGAUAAAUGUAACUCUUUGAUGAACCAAUAUAAAUUGUUAAUAUUGUUACAAGAUAUCGACGAUGAUAGAUCACCUCACACAAUUUCCCCGUCGAUACUUUUUGUGAUGAUUCCGCGGCUUGACGUUUCUAAGGCUACACCGAUAGGGGAUUAAGAGAUGACAUCAACUCCAAAAAUAGAUUGUCUCGGUGUUGAGGAGGCCACAUUGAGAAGGGAUCCCAUUAUGACAUCUAUUUCGAUAUUAGGAAUAUUGUUGACGACGAUGGAUCACCCCAUGAGGAUGCUUCAUUAUCACCUUGGGCAGAGGAUCUCCGUUUGGUCUAUCUUAACACUCCAAGCAAGGGAAAACAGUGAUCAAUAUUGCCUCUCAGGAUGACGAAGUCACUGAUGAUGUGGUUGAGCUCUCUGCACAAGUGGACUUCAUUCAGGUGAUCAAUAUUGCUUCUCAGGACGAUGAAGUCACUGAUGAUGUAGUUAAGCUCUCUGCACAAGUGGACUUCAUUCAGGUAAUUAAGUUUUCAAGAAAUUUAAUAAGUAUGAUUGAAAAAAUAUAUUAUUUAUUUACUGAAUUUGUGUAUUUACCUACAAUAGGUCUCGAAAGAUAAUAUAGUUGACCUAACUUCAUUUGCAGAUUCUCCAACUAUGACUAUAGUUUUACAGAAGGUAUUAAAAAAUUUAUAAAAAUCUCACGAGUUAAUGUAAUUUUAAAUGAUGUAUUAUUUGUUUGGCCA